This 497-nucleotide ribosomal RNA is filed under the name uncultured bacterium. Its description in RNAcentral is "partial 16S ribosomal RNA". It matches the Rfam family "Bacterial small subunit ribosomal RNA", at positions 28 to 507 of the family's 1533-position model. The record is from RNAcentral.
GAUGAACGCUGGCGGCGUGCCUAAUACAUGCAAGUCGAGCGAACAGAUAAGGAGCUUGCUCCUUUGACGUUAGCGGCGGACGGGUGAGUAACACGUGGGUAACCUACCUAUAAGACUGGAAUAACUCCGGGAAACCGGGGCUAAUGCCGGAUAACAUUUAGAACCGCAUGGUUCUAAAGUGAAAGAUGGUUCUGCUAUCACUUAUAGAUGGACCCGCGCCGUAUUAGCUAGUUGGUAAGGUAACGGCUUACCAAGGUAACGAUACGUAGCCGACCUGAGAGGGUGAUCGGCCACACUGGAACUGAGACACGGUCCAGACUCCUACGGGAGGCAGCAGUAGGGAAUCUUCCGCAAUGGGCGAAAGCCUGACGGAGCAACGCCGCGUGAGUGAUGAAGGUCUUCGGAUCGUAAAACUCUGUUAUUAGGGAAGAACAAAUGUGUAAGUAACUGUGCACGUCUUGACGGUACCUAAUCAGAAAGCCACGGCUAACUACGUG